RNAcentral lists this ribosomal RNA (770 nucleotides) under uncultured Neocallimastigales. RNAcentral's name for it is "partial large subunit ribosomal RNA". It matches the Rfam family "Eukaryotic large subunit ribosomal RNA", at positions 18 to 639 of the family's 3401-position model. Lineage: Eukaryota; Fungi; Neocallimastigomycota; Neocallimastigomycetes; Neocallimastigales. The record is from RNAcentral.
UCAGACGAUGCGUCAUGCAUAUCAAUAAGCGGAGGAAAAGAAACUAACAAGGAUUCCCUCAGUAACGGCGAGUGAAGCGGGAAGAGCUCAAAUUUGAAAUCCUGAAAGGUCACCUUUCACGAAUUGUAGUUUAAAGAAGUGUUUUCUGUUACGAUCGUAAUAUAAGUUCUUUGGAAUAGGACAUCACAGAGGGUGAGAAUCCCGUCUAUGAUUGCGAUUUGUAGCUUUGUGAUACACUUUCAAAGAGUCGGGUUGUUUGGGAAUGCAGCCCAAAACGGGAGGUAAAUUUCUUCUAAGGCUAAAUAUUGGCGAGAGACCGAUAGCGAACAAGUACCGUGAGGGAAAGAUGAAAAGAACUUUGAAAAGAGAGUUAAAUAGUACGUGAAAUUGUCAAAAGGGAAGCGUUUAACACCAGUGUUGUUUUCUGAAAAUCAACCUCUGUUAGCUUUAUGCAUGUUUGUUUAGACCUAAUCAGCUAUCUUGCAUGUUCUAUUGUUUGCAGUGGUGCACUUUUCAGUUUACAGGUCAACAUCAGUUUUUUUUACCGUAAAAAAGUUAAAGAAAGGUAGCUCAUGGCUCCGGUCGUGAGUGUUAUAGUCUUUUUCCUAUGCGGUAGGAGAGACUGAGGUCUGCAGUGUAGGCUAUUUGGCUAGAUACUCAGGUGCUAUGUGAUAUCAUUUCAUAAACAACUUGUUGAUUAUGUUUUGUCUAUUGCAUACUCGCUUGUACUAUCAUACCUACGCUUAGGAUGUUGAAGACUCUACAGAGAU